GCCAUGCCGCGUGAGUGAUGACGGUCUUCGGAUUGUAAAACUCUUUCUGAGGGGAGGAAAAUGGCGGUACCCGCAGAAGAUGGCCGGCUCACUCCGUUCCAGCCGCCGCCGGUUACGAGCCAGCCGCCGCGGUAAU
Molecule: ribosomal RNA, 136 nt
Filed under: uncultured bacterium
Lineage: Bacteria
Description: partial 16S ribosomal RNA
Rfam family: Bacterial small subunit ribosomal RNA
Source: RNAcentral